This 77-nucleotide transfer RNA is filed under the name Schaalia zhouxuedongae. RNAcentral describes it as "Schaalia sp. ZJ405 tRNA-Ile". It matches the Rfam family "tRNA". Rfam says of the family: Transfer RNA (tRNA) molecules are approximately 80 nucleotides in length. The record is from RNAcentral. Lineage: Bacteria; Bacillati; Actinomycetota; Actinomycetes; Actinomycetales; Actinomycetaceae.
GCCCCAAUAGCUCAGUCGGUUAGAGCAGCGGACUCAUAAUCCGUCGGUCGCCGGUUCAAGCCCGGCUUGGGGCACCA